This 507-nucleotide ribosomal RNA is filed under the name uncultured bacterium. Its description in RNAcentral is "bacterial SSU rRNA". It matches the Rfam family "Bacterial small subunit ribosomal RNA", at positions 29 to 524 of the family's 1533-position model. The record is from RNAcentral.
AACGAACGCUGGCGGCGCGUCUUAAGCAUGCAAGUCGAACGGUAACACGGGGCAACCUGGUGACGAGUGGCGAACGGGUGAGUAACACGUAGGUGAUCUGCCUUUGGGUUGGGGAUAGCUUGUGGAAACACAGGGUAAUACCGAAUGAGGUUGCUUGACUUUGGUUGAGCAAUGAAAGGGGCUUCGGCCUCGCCUGAAGAUGAGCCUGCGGCUGAUUAGCUAGUUGGUGAGGUAAGAGCUCACCAAGGCGACGAUCAGUAGCCGGCCUGAGAGGGUGGUCGGCCACACUGGGACUGAGAUACGGCCCAGACUCCUACGGGAGGCAGCAGCUAAGAAUCUUCCGCAAUGGACGGAAAGUCUGACGGAGCGACGCCGCGUGGGUGAUGAAGGCGGAAACGUUGUAAAGCCCUUUUAUGGACGAGGAAUAAGGCUGGGAGGGAAUGCCCGGCUGAUGACGGUAGUCCAUGAAUAAGCCCUGGCUAAUUACGUGCCAGCAGCCGCGGUAAU